This is a long non-coding RNA of Phacochoerus africanus (Common warthog), 1038 nucleotides long. RefSeq lists it as uncharacterized. The record is from RefSeq and is a predicted model, not a curated record. NCBI's taxonomy places the organism in Eukaryota, Metazoa, Chordata, Mammalia, Artiodactyla, Suidae. The transcript is spliced from 3 exons.
AACAGGAAUGUCAAUAAUUUGUGUAACUAUGCACUCGACUCAAUGAUGAAAUCGAUCAGCUGUUCUCAGUUCUACCAACGCCUUCUCUUCAUGACUUUCAGGUUCUCACUCACCUGAGUCAUAGCAGGAGAAGACAUGCUCAUCAAGUGCCUGAGUUCUCCUACCAGAGUGAAUCCUGUCCUUCCAAGAACUGAAUGAGGAGACUGAGGUACAGAGAGAAAAUGCUGAAAGACUUGAAGAAGCUAUUUGAUAAACCACUGGGUAUGUUGGGAUCAGAAUCAUCAAUGCAGUUUAACCUUCUAACUUUCUGACCGUUGAUGAGUACCAGCCAAGAUGUUGGAUAUGCUGUCAUCCCUGUCUUCCUACCAUCUAUAUCUGGCCGUGCCAAUCAGCUCUCUCCUAUUAUCCAGGGGUAAUACUGAAAAUAAAACAAAACAAAAAGCUCCUUAAGGAUUUGUUUGCCCAAAUAGAAAACUUGAAAGUGCCUCUACAAAUUAUGACUUAGGAAGAUCAUUAGCAGUUCUGAUAGUGGUAAACACUUGUUUUGAAAUGAUGGCUAUGGGAUGGAUCUCUUAUGCUUAAAUGAUAGUUAAGGAAAUUGUCUGAGUUUUGAAAUACAAUGCAUCUUAUUGAUUAUAAGAAAAAAUGUUUGGGGGUGAUAACUCCACUGUGCUAAGUUUGCUGUUUGAAAUCUGUGUAGAUGGGGUCAGUUAAAUGUUUGAAGUAUUUGAAUUGAGUGUAUUUGAGUUGAUUAAAAUCCUCCUAAUCUCUGUCACUGAGGGACCUUACAGGGCUGCCCAGCUGGAAGUGGAGAAGUUACCUGGAAUAGGUCUGAGGGUCUAGUUCUUGAUAUCUAUCUUGGAAGAAUUUCUUGUGGCUAUUUCUUUUAAUACAGUUGGAGGAUUGUCCAUGUCUUUUGGGGCCUAGAGCCCAGUGACUACUCUGCCCCUCAGCUGUCACAGAGAACACAUGAGAAAGAGUUACGUUAGCCUGCUUUUCCUAUUAUUUCUCCCCACAUUCCUGGGCCAAGUUGGGAUC